Molecule: ribosomal RNA, 498 nt
Filed under: uncultured bacterium
Lineage: Bacteria
Description: partial 16S ribosomal RNA
Rfam family: Bacterial small subunit ribosomal RNA
Source: RNAcentral
GACGAACGCUGGCGGCGUGCCUAAUACAUGCAAGUCGAGCGGACGAAUCGAAAGCUUGCUUUUGAUUCGUUAGCGGCGGACGGGUGAGUAACACGUGGGCAACCUGCCCUGUAGACGGGGAUAACACCGAGAAAUCGGUGCUAAUACCGGAUAACACGAAAUGUCGCAUGACGUUUCGUUGAAAGACGGCGCAAGCUGCCGCUACAGGAUGGGCCCGCGGCGCAUUAGCUAGUUGGUGAGGUAACGGCUCACCAAGGCGACGAUACGUAGCCGACCUGAGAGGGUGAUCGGCCACACUGGGACUGAGACACGGCCCAGACUCCUACGGGAGGCAGCAGUAGGGAAUCUUCCGCGAUGGACGAAAGUCUGACGGAGCAACGCCGCGUGAGCGAAGAAGGCCUUCGGGUCGUAAAGCUCUGUUGUUAGGGAAGAACAAGUAACGCAGUAACUGGCGUUACCGUGACGGUACCUAACGAGAAAGCCACGGCUAACUACGUG